AGCAGCCGCGGUAAUUCCAGCUCCAAUAGCGUAUAUUAAAGUUGUUGCAGUUAAAAAGCUCGUAGUUGAACUUCGGGGUUUACUCAUUGGUCAGGCUUAAUUGUCUGUACUGGUGAGAUGAAUCUCUACCUUCUGAGGAACUUUCAUGCCAUUAAUUUGGUGUGUUGGGAAAUCAGGACUGUUACUUUGAAAAAUUAGAGUGUUUAAAGCAGGCUAACGUCUGAAUACAUUAGCAUGGAAUAAUGAAAUAGGACGGAUUGAUUCUAUUCGUUGGUUUCUAGGGUCACCGUAAUGAUUAAUAGGGAUAGUUGGGGCAUUAGUAUUCAAUUGUCAGAGGUGAAAUUCUUGGAUUUAUUGAAGACUAACUACUGCGAAAGCAUUUGCCAAGGAUGUUUUCAUUAAUACAAGAACGAAAGUUAGGGGAUCGAAGCGAUCAGAUACCGUCGUAGUCUUAACCAUAAACUAUAGCCGACUA
RNAcentral lists this ribosomal RNA (475 nucleotides) under uncultured Diversispora. RNAcentral's name for it is "SSU rRNA". It matches the Rfam family "Eukaryotic small subunit ribosomal RNA", at positions 569 to 1049 of the family's 1831-position model. The record is from RNAcentral. Lineage: Eukaryota; Fungi; Glomeromycota; Glomeromycetes; Diversisporales; Diversisporaceae.